RNAcentral lists this ribosomal RNA (2364 nucleotides) under Escherichia coli. RNAcentral's name for it is "partial 23S ribosomal RNA". It matches the Rfam family "Bacterial large subunit ribosomal RNA", at positions 582 to 2925 of the family's 2925-position model. The record is from RNAcentral. Lineage: Bacteria; Pseudomonadati; Pseudomonadota; Gammaproteobacteria; Enterobacterales; Enterobacteriaceae.
UCUUUAUGGGGUGACUGCGUACCUUUUGUAUAAUGGGUCAGCGACUUAUAUUCUGUAGCAAGGUUAACCGAAUAGGGGAGCCGAAGGGAAACCGAGUCUUAACUGGGCGUUAAGUUGCAGGGUAUAGACCCGAAACCCGGUGAUCUAGCCAUGGGCAGGUUGAAGGUUGGGUAACACUAACUGGAGGACCGAACCGACUAAUGUUGAAAAAUUAGCGGAUGACUUGUGGCUGGGGGUGAAAGGCCAAUCAAACCGGGAGAUAGCUGGUUCUCCCCGAAAGCUAUUUAGGUAGCGCCUCGUGAAUUCAUCUCCGGGGGUAGAGCACUGUUUCGGCAAGGGGGUCAUCCCGACUUACCAACCCGAUGCAAACUGCGAAUACCGGAGAAUGUUAUCACGGGAGACACACGGCGGGUGCUAACGUCCGUCGUGAAGAGGGAAACAACCCAGACCGCCAGCUAAGGUCCCAAAGUCAUGGUUAAGUGGGAAACGAUGUGGGAAGGCCCAGACAGCCAGGAUGUUGGCUUAGAAGCAGCCAUCAUUUAAAGAAAGCGUAAUAGCUCACUGGUCGAGUCGGCCUGCGCGGAAGAUGUAACGGGGCUAAACCAUGCACCGAAGCUGCGGCAGCGACGCUUAUGCGUUGUUGGGUAGGGGAGCGUUCUGUAAGCCUGUGAAGGUGUGCUGUGAGGCAUGCUGGAGGUAUCAGAAGUGCGAAUGCUGACAUAAGUAACGAUAAAGCGGGUGAAAAGCCCGCUCGCCGGAAGACCAAGGGUUCCUGUCCAACGUUAAUCGGGGCAGGGUGAGUCGACCCCUAAGGCGAGGCCGAAAGGCGUAGUCGAUGGGAAACAGGUUAAUAUUCCUGUACUUGGUGUUACUGCGAAGGGGGGACGGAGAAGGCUAUGUUGGCCGGGCGACGGUUGUCCCGGUUUAAGCGUGUAGGCUGGUUUUCCAGGCAAAUCCGGAAAAUCAAGGCUGAGGCGUGAUGACGAGGCACUACGGUGCUGAAGCAACAAAUGCCCUGCUUCCAGGAAAAGCCUCUAAGCAUCAGGUAACAUCAAAUCGUACCCCAAACCGACACAGGUGGUCAGGUAGAGAAUACCAAGGCGCUUGAGAGAACUCGGGUGAAGGAACUAGGCAAAAUGGUGCCGUAACUUCGGGAGAAGGCACGCUGAUAUGUAGGUGAGGUCCCUCGCGGAUGGAGCUGAAAUCAGUCGAAGAUACCAGCUGGCUGCAACUGUUUAUUAAAAACACAGCACUGUGCAAACACGAAAGUGGACGUAUACGGUGUGACGCCUGCCCGGUGCCGGAAGGUUAAUUGAUGGGGUUAGCGGUAACGCGAAGCUCUUGAUCGAAGCCCCGGUAAACGGCGGCCGUAACUAUAACGGUCCUAAGGUAGCGAAAUUCCUUGUCGGGUAAGUUCCGACCUGCACGAAUGGCGUAAUGAUGGCCAGGCUGUCUCCACCCGAGACUCAGUGAAAUUGAACUCGCUGUGAAGAUGCAGUGUACCCGCGGCAAGACGGAAAGACCCCGUGAACCUUUACUAUAGCUUGACACUGAACAUUGAGCCUUGAUGUGUAGGAUAGGUGGGAGGCUUUGAAGUGUGGACGCCAGUCUGCAUGGAGCCGACCUUGAAAUACCACCCUUUAAUGUUUGAUGUUCUAACGUUGACCCGUAAUCCGGGUUGCGGACAGUGUCUGGUGGGUAGUUUGACUGGGGCGGUCUCCUCCUAAAGAGUAACGGAGGAGCACGAAGGUUGGCUAAUCCUGGUCGGACAUCAGGAGGUUAGUGCAAUGGCAUAAGCCAGCUUGACUGCGAGCGUGACGGCGCGAGCAGGUGCGAAAGCAGGUCAUAGUGAUCCGGUGGUUCUGAAUGGAAGGGCCAUCGCUCAACGGAUAAAAGGUACUCCGGGGAUAACAGGCUGAUACCGCCCAAGAGUUCAUAUCGACGGCGGUGUUUGGCACCUCGAUGUCGGCUCAUCACAUCCUGGGGCUGAAGUAGGUCCCAAGGGUAUGGCUGUUCGCCAUUUAAAGUGGUACGCGAGCUGGGUUUAGAACGUCGUGAGACAGUUCGGUCCCUAUCUGCCGUGGGCGCUGGAGAACUGAGGGGGGCUGCUCCUAGUACGAGAGGACCGGAGUGGACGCAUCACUGGUGUUCGGGUUGUCAUGCCAAUGGCACUGCCCGGUAGCUAAAUGCGGAAGAGAUAAGUGCUGAAAGCAUCUAAGCACGAAACUUGCCCCGAGAUGAGUUCUCCCUGACUCCUUGAGAGUCCUGAAGGAACGUUGAAGACGACGACGUUGAUAGGCCGGGUGUGUAAGCGCAGCGAUGCGUUGAGCUAACCGGUACUAAUGAACCGUGAGGCUUAACCUU